Molecule: ribosomal RNA, 279 nt
Filed under: uncultured bacterium
Lineage: Bacteria
Description: partial 16S ribosomal RNA
Rfam family: Bacterial small subunit ribosomal RNA
Source: RNAcentral
UGCCAGCCGCCGCGGUAAUACGGAAGGUCCUAGCGUUGUUCGGAAUUACUGGGCGUAAAGCGCAUGUAGGCGGAACAGAAAGUUAGAAGUGAAAUCCCUGGGCUCAACCUAGGAAUUGCUUUUAAAACUUCUGUUCUGGAAUUCAGGAGAGGAAAAUGGAAUAUCCAGUGUAGAGGUGAAAUUCGUAGAUAUUGGAUGGAACACCAGUGGCGAAGGCGAUUUUCUGGACUGAUAUUGACGCUGAGAUGCGAAGGCAUGGGUAGCAAACGGGAUUAGAUA